Molecule: long non-coding RNA, 1742 nt
Filed under: Monomorium pharaonis (pharaoh ant)
Lineage: Eukaryota; Metazoa; Arthropoda; Insecta; Hymenoptera; Formicidae
Description: uncharacterized LOC118646011
Source: RNAcentral
AAUUUCUUAGUGAUUAUUUAAAAAAAAUGGAAGAAUAUAGUAAAAUAUUAACAAAAGAAUUUUCAUAUGCAAUGUGGAAACCAUUAGCAGAGAUAACACUCAUCGCCAUUCAAGUUUUUAAUCAUUGUCGAGCUGGAGGAACAGAAAGAAUUUUAAUUAAAGACUUUAAAAACCAUGAGUGUGAUUAUGGGACAGGUUCUAUAAAAAUUGUAUACAAGAUUCAUUUGAUAAGACCUAUGACUAUAUUAGAUUUACUAUUCGCGGUAAAUUACAUAGAACUCUUCCAGUACUGUUAGAUGCACAUAUAUUAAAAAGUAUUCAACUUUUGCUAUAAUUUCAAAAAAAUGCUAAUGUGCCAUCAGAUAAUCUUUUUUGUUUGGAUUACCCAAUAAUUAAAAUGAAAAUAAACAUGCUUAUAAACAAAUGCGAGGUUUUGCAAGCCUAUGUGGAGUAAAAAAAUAGCUCCGCACUUUGUCUAACUACUUUGCGCAAACAUGUGCAACAGAAUGAGUGGAUAUAAACUUGUUGGAUAAUCAAAUGUCGAGAGUAGCAAACUUCAUGGAUCAUCAUAAUAUCAUACCUACAAAACAUAUCUACAAAAAAAUCUAUAGCAACCUGUUGCUAAAGUCGACAUACUAGAAAUGUCAAAAAUUUAGAAAAAAAUCAAGGCGUGGAUAUAACAGUUUCUAAUGAUGGAGUUGACAUAACUAUCAACAGUAAAGACGAUAAUUUUUUCUUCAAUCAAGCCUGUAAAAUAUAUCAAAGGUAAACACGAUGGACAGAUAAAGAAAUAACAGAUGUGCAAAAAUGUAAUUUUUUAAAUAUCUGCGUAAAGGAAAACUGCCACCUUUAUCAGAAAUAAGUGACAUACAAUGUCUUAAGCCAUAAGAAACCUGAUUUAAUGACAUAGUUACAUUAUCAGUUAAGAAAAAACAAAACUUGCGAUUGAAACAUACAUAUGCAUUCAUGAUUUAUUUAAUUUUAAUUCUAUAAGACAGCGGAUUUUAAAGUCAUAUCUCAUUAAAUUUCUUUUCCUUUUUUAGUUUUCAAGAAUGUUUAAGGUAUAUGUUAUUUAUAAUUAAAGAUAUGUUUGUCUUUCUUUUGCAUGUUAGGCAUCGAAAUUGUUUUGCAAAUGUAUUGUGUCCUUUAUAUUUUUCCAAUUAUUUGUUUAAAUAUUAUAUUUAAAUUUUGUCCUUAUGUGAAAAUAUAGUUUUUGAUAUUACAUUAUAUACUCAAAAAAUAUAUUAAAUAUUGUAAAUAUAUAUGUAAUAGCGUUUUCUACUGGAGAAAAAACUGGUGCAGCACCAGCACUGCAGUAAAUUUUGAUGAAAAACUUCACUAGCGUAAUAAUAGUGCAGGUUUAAUGUGGUUCAGUGGAACACAUCAGUAGACAGAUUUAAAAUUAAACAAUUUCAUUGUUAUAAAGUUUACUAAAAUAAUGUAAUAACAUAUAAUGUAAUACACCUUAAAGCACAAACAUAACAUCUAUUUUAAUUUGCACUGGCACCUUCCACCGUCUCGAAAGACGGUGGAACAAACGUUGCACUCAGUGUAAUUUUUUGCACUAAUUUUGUCAGUAGAACAUUAAACACUGAAAAUAUGUGAACUGAUUUUCACAGUGGAACAAUAAAAUUGCACUCAGUGCGCACCAGUGUUGCACUAGUUUUUCCAAUAGAAAACGUUAUAAGAAAAAAGAAUUCAUAAAGAAUGAAACGUUCGUUUUUAUAUAUUACUUUCACUCA